UCCCGCAAAGAAACCAAAGUGCAAAUUUGGCCGCGCACCCUAAAAGGUGCCGGGGCUUCUCCCGUUUUUAGAGAGACGGGAGAAGG
Molecule: transfer RNA, 86 nt
Filed under: Cyrtodactylus soni
Lineage: Eukaryota; Metazoa; Chordata; Lepidosauria; Squamata; Gekkonidae
Description: tRNA-Cys
Source: RNAcentral